RNAcentral lists this transfer RNA (73 nucleotides) under Opisthorchis viverrini. It matches the Rfam family "tRNA". Rfam says of the family: Transfer RNA (tRNA) molecules are approximately 80 nucleotides in length. Their secondary structure includes four short double-helical elements and three loops (D, anti-codon, and T loops). Lineage: Eukaryota; Metazoa; Platyhelminthes; Trematoda; Opisthorchiida; Opisthorchiidae. The record is from Rfam by way of RNAcentral.
GGCCCGGUAGCUCAGUUGGUUAGAGCUCGUGCUAAUAACGCGAAUGUCGUGGGUUCGAUCCCCAUCCGGGCCA